GAUGAAGAACGCAGCGAAAUGCGAUACUUGGUGUGAAUUGCAGAAUCCCGUGAACCAUCGAGUCUUUGAACGCAAGUUGCGCCUCAAGCCAUUAGGUUGAGGGCACGUCUGCCUGGGCGUCACAUAUCGUUGCCUGAUGCCAGUUUCCUCGUGAUGGGUGACUGUGCAGGGCGAAUGAUGGCUUCCCGUGAGCAUUGUUGCCUCAUGGUUGGUUGAAAAUUGAGUCCUUGGUAGGGAGCGCCGUGAUAGAUGGUGGUUGAGUGACGAACGAGACCCAACCAUGUGAGACCCCUACCGAAUUUGGCCUUCAUGACCCACAUGCGUCUUUGGAACGCUCAUGACGAGACCUCAGGUCAGGCGGGGCUACCCGCUGAGUUUAAGCAUAUCAAUAAGCGGAGGA
RNAcentral lists this unclassified non-coding RNA (400 nucleotides) under soil metagenome. Its description in RNAcentral is "partial contains 5.8S ribosomal RNA, internal transcribed spacer 2, and large subunit ribosomal RNA". The stretch from base 1 to 122 matches the Rfam family "5.8S ribosomal RNA", at positions 35 to 154 of the family's 154-position model. The record is from RNAcentral.